CUACGGGGUGCUGCAGUGAGGAAUAUUGCACAAUGGAGGAAACUCUGAUGCAGCAACGCCGCGUGGAGGAUGACGCAUUUCGGUGUGUAAACUCCUUUUAUAUGUCAAGAAAAUGACGGUAGCAUAUGAAUAAGCACCGGCUAACUCCGUGCCAGCAGCCGCGGUAAUACGGAGGGUGCAAGCGUUACUCGGAAUCACUGGGCGUAAAGGACGCGUAGGCGGGAUAUCAAGUCAGGUGUGAAAUCCUACAGCUUAACUGUAGAACUGCACUUGAAACUGGUAACCUAGAGUAUGGGAGGGGGAGAUGGAAUUAGUGGUGUAGGGGUAAUAUCCGUAGAUAUCACUAGGAAUACCUAAAGCGAAGGCGAUCUCCUGGAACAUAACUGACGCUAAGGCGUGAAAGCGUGGGGAGCAAACAGGAUUAGAUACCCCAGUAGUC
This 439-nucleotide ribosomal RNA is filed under the name uncultured bacterium. RNAcentral's name for it is "partial 16S ribosomal RNA". It matches the Rfam family "Bacterial small subunit ribosomal RNA", at positions 339 to 795 of the family's 1533-position model. The record is from RNAcentral.